GAGGGCCCGCACAAGCAGCGGAGCGUGUGGUUUAAUUCGAUGUUACACGAAGAACCUUACCAGGGUUUGACAUGCAAGUGGUAGGAAGCCGAAAGGUGACCGACCCUUCGGGGAGCUUGCACAGGUGCUGCAUGGCUGUCGUCAGCUCGUGUCGUGAGAUGUUCGGUUAAGUCCGCUAACGAGCGCAACCCUCGCUGUGUGUUAUAUGUGUCACACGGGACUGCCGGUCUUAAGCCGGAGGAAGGUGGGGAUGAUGUCAAGUCAGCAUGGCCUUUAUAUCCUGGGCUACACACACGCUACAAUGGCCAACACAAUAGGUUGCUAAGCCGCGAGGUGGCGCCAAUCCAUAAAGUUGGUCUCAGUUCAGAUUGUAGGCUGCAACCCGCCUGCAUGAAGAUGGAGUUGCUAGUAACCGCAGGUCAGCUAUACUGCGGUGAAUACGUUCCCGGGGCUU
Molecule: ribosomal RNA, 454 nt
Filed under: uncultured Leptolinea sp.
Lineage: Bacteria; Bacillati; Chloroflexota; Anaerolineae; Anaerolineales; Anaerolineaceae
Description: bacterial SSU rRNA
Rfam family: Bacterial small subunit ribosomal RNA
Source: RNAcentral